This 253-nucleotide ribosomal RNA is filed under the name uncultured bacterium. RNAcentral describes it as "partial 16S ribosomal RNA". It matches the Rfam family "Bacterial small subunit ribosomal RNA", at positions 524 to 776 of the family's 1533-position model. The record is from RNAcentral.
UACAGAGGGUGCGAGCGUUAAUCGGAAUUACUGGGCGUAACGCGCGCGUAGGCGGCUUUGUAAGUCGGUUGUGAAAUCCCCGGGCUUAACCUGGGAACUGCAUCCGAGACUGCAUGGCUAGAGUAUGGGAGAGGGAAGUGGAAUUUCAGGUGUAGCGGUGAAAUGCGUAGAUAUCUGAAGGAACAUCAGUGGCGAAAGCGACUUCCUGGACCAAUACUGACGCUCAUGUGCGAAAGCGUGGGGAGCAGACAGG